AUGGGAGGUGAUUAUGUGGUCAUAUCGGUCUUACUAUGCUUUUUGUGUAUAACUUUCCACCUCACCUGUGUUGAAUCGGUAGACGUAGAUGUCAAUCUCCAGACGAAUGAGAAGAACACCACUCUUUUAAGACGUAAACCUUUCCAUUUUCCUUGGAGAGCUGAUAUCACGAAUGAAGGAAGCGGCAUUGUUUCUCAUAUUUCCCCCUCUUUAUACCAUAACAGAGAUAUUCGCUUCUUUACAUAUUGGACCAAGGACUUGAAAUCGAAGGGGUGCUACAACUUGCAGUGCCCAGGAUUUGUUUCUGCAAGUCGAGCUAAUCUAGUGCCUGGACAAGCCAUGGCUCCUCCAUCAAUUUAUGGCAAAGAAGACCACUACGUUAGGCUUAGCCUCAACAAGGAUCCAAAUUCCGGAGAUUGGGUGGUGUACCAUCACGAUUUACAAAAACCAUCAUUCUUGGGACAUUUUCCAAAUAAGCUUUGCCCGGGAACUCGACGUAUACAAGCCUUGACUGGAUUCGUGAAUUACUUGAAGAACGCACAUGGUCCUCCCAUGGGUAGCAGCCACUUCCCUGAUUAUGACGAUAAGAGAUCUGCGUACUUCAAGCACAUUCAGAACUACAAUCCAAAUGGUCAUUCUUCCGACCUCUUUGGCAUUCCCAUGAUCAAGUUAGUUGAUAGGCCAGAUUGUUAUGGAGCAAAUAAUUUAUUUCUCGAAUACAAGAAGGGUUAUAUGUUCAACUAUGGUGGACCAGGUGGUUGUGUUGGUUGA
Molecule: ribosomal RNA, 771 nt
Filed under: Triticum aestivum (bread wheat)
Lineage: Eukaryota; Viridiplantae; Streptophyta; Magnoliopsida; Poales; Poaceae
Description: partial small subunit ribosomal RNA
Source: RNAcentral